Molecule: long non-coding RNA, 685 nt
Filed under: Oryctolagus cuniculus (rabbit)
Lineage: Eukaryota; Metazoa; Chordata; Mammalia; Lagomorpha; Leporidae
Description: lncRNA (ENSOCUG00000031779.1)
Source: RNAcentral
GUCACAAAAAAUUGGCUAAUCCAGGGGCUAUGCAGUAUAAAAACUUCUCUGCUUGUGUGGCUGUGAAGGAAAAGGUGACUUUGAGGAUGAAUGAGUCGAGUUCCAUAGAGACGAAUUGUCUGGAGGGCAACAGGUUAACACACUCAAUCUGUGGUGAAGUGGAGCUUCCCUGGAGACAGUCCAAGAAGCAAGGACUCACAAAUAAGGAAGGCUUUAAUCUGUGUGUUCAAAUCCAGGAAAGUUUUCUAGUUUAAAAAUGUCCUCUCCACCCUGAUGGAUUUCCCAUCCUACUUUACCUACAAAACCAUCACAGAUGUUUUGGAAGUGGGGUCUUCUGAAAAGUAAUCCAGGUUAGUACAAUAUCACUAACUUAUUUUGCUUCCCAUUUAUAACAAAAAUCUGUGAGGUGACUUGAAUGGAGCUGAGUCAUCAUAAAUUAUGUUGCAUCUUUCUAUGCUACUGUAGUUUAAAAAGUCCCCAACAUGUCAAUUACCAGUUUUCAUCUUUGGAGGUUUUCACAGUCAUAAAACUGUGUUGGAACACAACUUAAAUAUUUAUUAUUUGGGAAAAAGCUUUCAGAACAUGCAAGGAAAAGACUGUAAACAGACCUUUUCAUAUUUAUAACCUCCCUAUUACCUAAUGACUAUUCAAAUAAAUGUUUCAAAUGAUGUGUAAAUGUAUGUCA